This 2903-nucleotide ribosomal RNA is filed under the name Escherichia coli. Its description in RNAcentral is "23S ribosomal RNA". It matches the Rfam family "Bacterial large subunit ribosomal RNA". The record is from RNAcentral. Lineage: Bacteria; Pseudomonadati; Pseudomonadota; Gammaproteobacteria; Enterobacterales; Enterobacteriaceae.
GGUUAAGCGACUAAGCGUACACGGUGGAUGCCCUGGCAGUCAGAGGCGAUGAAGGACGUGCUAAUCUGCGAUAAGCGUCGGUAAGGUGAUAUGAACCGUUAUAACCGGCGAUUUCCGAAUGGGGAAACCCAGUGUGAUUCGUCACACUAUCAUUAACUGAAUCCAUAGGUUAAUGAGGCGAACCGGGGGAACUGAAACAUCUAAGUACCCCGAGGAAAAGAAAUCAACCGAGAUUCCCCCAGUAGCGGCGAGCGAACGGGGAGCAGCCCAGAGCCUGAAUCAGUGUGUGUGUUAGUGGAAGCGUCUGGAAAGGCGCGCGAUACAGGGUGACAGCCCCGUACACAAAAAUGCACAUGCUGUGAGCUCGAUGAGUAGGGCGGGACACGUGGUAUCCUGUCUGAAUAUGGGGGGACCAUCCUCCAAGGCUAAAUACUCCUGACUGACCGAUAGUGAACCAGUACCGUGAGGGAAAGGCGAAAAGAACCCCGGCGAGGGGAGUGAAAAAGAACCUGAAACCGUGUACGUACAAGCAGUGGGAGCACGCUUAGGCGUGUGACUGCGUACCUUUUGUAUAAUGGGUCAGCGACUUAUAUUCUGUAGCAAGGUUAACCGAAUAGGGGAGCCGAAGGGAAACCGAGUCUUAACUGGGCGUUAAGUUGCAGGGUAUAGACCCGAAACCCGGUGAUCUAGCCAUGGGCAGGUUGAAGGUUGGGUAACACUAACUGGAGGACCGAACCGACUAAUGUUGAAAAAUUAGCGGAUGACUUGUGGCUGGGGGUGAAAGGCCAAUCAAACCGGGAGAUAGCUGGUUCUCCCCGAAAGCUAUUUAGGUAGCGCCUCGUGAAUUCAUCUCCGGGGGUAGAGCACUGUUUCGGCAAGGGGGUCAUCCCGACUUACCAACCCGAUGCAAACUGCGAAUACCGGAGAAUGUUAUCACGGGAGACACACGGCGGGUGCUAACGUCCGUCGUGAAGAGGGAAACAACCCAGACCGCCAGCUAAGGUCCCAAAGUCAUGGUUAAGUGGGAAACGAUGUGGGAAGGCCCAGACAGCCAGGAUGUUGGCUUAGAAGCAGCCAUCAUUUAAAGAAAGCGUAAUAGCUCACUGGUCGAGUCGGCCUGCGCGGAAGAUGUAACGGGGCUAAACCAUGCACCGAAGCUGCGGCAGCGACACUAUGUGUUGUUGGGUAGGGGAGCGUUCUGUAAGCCUGCGAAGGUGUGCUGUGAGGCAUGCUGGAGGUAUCAGAAGUGCGAAUGCUGACAUAAGUAACGAUAAAGCGGGUGAAAAGCCCGCUCGCCGGAAGACCAAGGGUUCCUGUCCAACGUUAAUCGGGGCAGGGUGAGUCGACCCCUAAGGCGAGGCCGAAAGGCGUAGUCGAUGGGAAACAGGUUAAUAUUCCUGUACUUGGUGUUACUGCGAAGGGGGGACGGAGAAGGCUAUGUUGGCCGGGCGACGGUUGUCCCGGUUUAAGCGUGUAGGCUGGUUUUCCAGGCAAAUCCGGAAAAUCAAGGCUGAGGCGUGAUGACGAGGCACUACGGUGCUGAAGCAACAAAUGCCCUGCUUCCAGGAAAAGCCUCUAAGCAUCAGGUAACAUCAAAUCGUACCCCAAACCGACACAGGUGGUCAGGUAGAGAAUACCAAGGCGCUUGAGAGAACUCGGGUGAAGGAACUAGGCAAAAUGGUGCCGUAACUUCGGGAGAAGGCACGCUGAUAUGUAGGUGAAGUCCCUCGCGGAUGGAGCUGAAAUCAGUCGAAGAUACCAGCUGGCUGCAACUGUUUAUUAAAAACACAGCACUGUGCAAACACGAAAGUGGACGUAUACGGUGUGACGCCUGCCCGGUGCCGGAAGGUUAAUUGAUGGGGUCAGCGCAAGCGAAGCUCUUGAUCGAAGCCCCGGUAAACGGCGGCCGUAACUAUAACGGUCCUAAGGUAGCGAAAUUCCUUGUCGGGUAAGUUCCGACCUGCACGAAUGGCGUAAUGAUGGCCAGGCUGUCUCCACCCGAGACUCAGUGAAAUUGAACUCGCUGUGAAGAUGCAGUGUACCCGCGGCAAGACGGAAAGACCCCGUGAACCUUUACUAUAGCUUGACACUGAACAUUGAGCCUUGAUGUGUAGGAUAGGUGGGAGGCUUGGAAGUGUGGACGCCAGUCUGCAUGGAGCCGACCUUGAAAUACCACCCUUUAAUGUUUGAUGUUCUAACGUGGACCCGUGAUCCGGGUUGCGGACAGUGUCUGGUGGGUAGUUUGACUGGGGCGGUCUCCUCCUAAAGAGUAACGGAGGAGCACGAAGGUUGGCUAAUCCUGGUCGGACAUCAGGAGGUUAGUGCAAUGGCAUAAGCCAGCUUGACUGCGAGCGUGACGGCGCGAGCAGGUGCGAAAGCAGGUCAUAGUGAUCCGGUGGUUCUGAAUGGAAGGGCCAUCGCUCAACGGAUAAAAGGUACUCCGGGGAUAACAGGCUGAUACCGCCCAAGAGUUCAUAUCGACGGCGGUGUUUGGCACCUCGAUGUCGGCUCAUCACAUCCUGGGGCUGAAGUAGGUCCCAAGGGUAUGGCUGUUCGCCAUUUAAAGUGGUACGCGAGCUGGGUUUAGAACGUCGUGAGACAGUUCGGUCCCUAUCUGCCGUGGGCGCUGGAGAACUGAGGGGGGCUGCUCCUAGUACGAGAGGACCGGAGUGGACGCAUCACUGGUGUUCGGGUUGUCAUGCCAAUGGCACUGCCCGGUAGCUAAAUGCGGAAGAGAUAAGUGCUGAAAGCAUCUAAGCACGAAACUUGCCCCGAGAUGAGUUCUCCCUGACUCCUUGAGAGUCCUGAAGGAACGUUGAAGACGACGACGUUGAUAGGCCGGGUGUGUAAGCGCAGCGAUGCGUUGAGCUAACCGGUACUAAUGAACCGUGAGGCUUAACCUU